CAGGGAGACAACAAAAUGUUAAAUAUUAAUUUUGUCACCUUAGGUCGAUCGGUAUCUCACAUUCUUAAUUUAUUAAGAAUUUUAUUUCCUAAGUUUUUUCUAGGUCACACCCAUUUUUUCCUGGGCCAUUAGCUCAGGUGGUUAGAGCGCACCCCUGAUAAGGGUGAGGUCCCUGGUUCAAGUCCAGGAUGGCCCAUAUCUCUAUGUUGGGGGUAUAGCUCAGUUGGUAGAGCGCCUGCUUUGCAAGCAGGAUGUCAGCGGUUCGAGUCCGCUUACCUCCACUGAUUACCACCUCUUCCAUAAAUAGAAGGGAAAUUUUUUGAGUUGUGACCAAACCUGAACGAAUCUAGCUUCCUAAUAGUUUUAUUAAGAUGCUGGACUCAUUGAAUUAAUUUCAUUGUUUUCAGAGAACCUUGACAACUGCAUAGAUUAUUUUUAAAGACAAUGAGCAUCUUUAAUGAUGCAGAUUUAUUAUUUGUGCGAAUGCAUUAAUAACAAUUCUAUUAAGCUGAUGCUUCAAUUUUUGAAGUUAUU
RNAcentral lists this transfer RNA (534 nucleotides) under uncultured Prochlorococcus sp. RNAcentral describes it as "partial 16S-23S ribosomal RNA intergenic spacer". The stretch from base 209 to 281 matches the Rfam family "tRNA". The record is from RNAcentral. Lineage: Bacteria; Bacillati; Cyanobacteriota; Cyanophyceae; Synechococcales; Prochlorococcaceae.